GUAUGCAACCUACCUUAAUCAGGGGGAUAGCCCGAAGGAAUUCGGAUUAACACCGCAUAAAAACACAGGAUAGCAUUAUCCAAUGUUCAAAUAUUUAUAGGAUUAAGAUGGGCAUGCGUGUCAUUAGCUAGUUGGCGGGGUAACGGCCCACCAAGGCGACGAUGACUAGGGGAUCUGAGAGGAUGACCCCCCACACUGGUACUGAGACACGGACCAGACUCCUACGGGAGGCAGCAGUAAGGAAUAUUGGUCAAUGGAGGGAACUCUGAACCAGCCAUGCCGCGUGCAGGAAGACGGCCCUCUGGGUUGUAAACUGCUUUUAUUCGGGAAUAAACCUACUUACGUGUAAGUAGCUGAAUGUACCGAAGGAAUAAGGAUCGGCUAACUCCGUGCCAGCAGCCGCGGUAAUACGGAGGAUCCAAGCGUUAUCCGGAUUUAUUGGGUUUAAAGGGUGCGUAGGCGGCCUAUUAAGUCAGGGGUGAAAGACGGUAGCUCAACUAUCGCAGUGCCCUUGAUACUGAUGGGCUUGAAUGGACUAGAGGUAGGCGGAAUGUGACAAGUAGCGGUGAAAUGCAUAGAUAUGUCACAGAACACCGAUUGCGAAGGCAGCUUACUAUGGUCAUAUUGACGCUGAGGCACGAAAGCGUGGGGAUCAAACAGGAUUAGAUACCCUGGUAGUCCACGCCCUAAACGAUGAAUACUUGCUGUUAGCGAUAUACAGUUAGCGGCUAAGCGAAAGCGUU
RNAcentral lists this ribosomal RNA (743 nucleotides) under uncultured Pedobacter sp. RNAcentral describes it as "bacterial SSU rRNA". It matches the Rfam family "Bacterial small subunit ribosomal RNA", at positions 117 to 861 of the family's 1533-position model. Lineage: Bacteria; Pseudomonadati; Bacteroidota; Sphingobacteriia; Sphingobacteriales; Sphingobacteriaceae. The record is from RNAcentral.